Dromaius novaehollandiae (emu) is the source of this 3073-nucleotide long non-coding RNA. NCBI's taxonomy places the organism in Eukaryota, Metazoa, Chordata, Aves, Casuariiformes, Dromaiidae. The record is from Ensembl.
GCGUCACAAGACGGUUUUACCUUCAGCCCUUUUGCAAGUUCCCUGCGUUGCCAUCAAUACUUUUCUAACCAAAAAYGCAGGGCUAUUUAUUCCAUUUUUUAUUUAACCUGGCACAGCACUGGGUUAAAUUUACAGCUGCUAGAAAAAAACGUUGCAGGAUGAAAACAAGUGGUACAWCCACUUGGUUAGGAAUAUAUUAGAUUGGUUGUUGCUUGAUGCCAUUGAAUUUUAUUUCCUCUACUGGGUAUCGUGAGCUCGUCGUCUCUCACGAGUGGAUCAUYGAGGCAGGCACUGCACGUGCCACCAGGGCCUGGUAUGAGAGAGAAAACACGAUUUUUCCUGUAUGUUUAAAUUUCAGCUGUUAGACACCCCUGUGAAUGGGAGCUCGUGACAAAGGAGAAUUUUCAAGAUUGCUGUUUGCUACUAUAGAAGUACAUUCAUUAGCUUUUCUGGUAAUCAGCUGAACACGCAAAACGGUGAUCUCAGAGUAAUUUUUAUCAUGUAACACGUGAAAAUGUUUAUUUUUAGAAAAAGUUACUUUAUCUGAUAUUAAGUGGAAAAUUUUUGUUGCAAGUUUUAAUUAGAGAUAAAGCAAACCUCACUUCAACCGGAGAGAAGCUCCAGGGCUUUGCAAACUUCCGUAUUAUGUAUGUCACAAAAGAAGCGUCGCAAGAAAAGAAAGAAAGGAUCAAACAAAAUCUCCACCUAUUUCUAAAAUCCUGGUAUUUGUCCCACCUAAAAGCCUGAACAUUUUUGCAAUGAGUGAUUCAGCAUCAAAUGAUGUUAAGUUUCUCAGCCUGAGAGAGUUAAAUUUCUCAGCCUGAGUGGAGCUUUUUCUUUUGAGACUAGGGCUCAAAACUGUGAACUUUUGAAACUCCCCGCGUAGUGAGAAUGAAGCUUUUCUUCAGGGGUUUGGAAAGACCUUCAAAACCAUUUCACUUCCGAUCGAAACGUCCUACCAGGCUCAGGAGCAACUCUGCUGUGACGCAGCGCUACCGAUCGUCCCAUGGAAAGGAAAGCGAGCCCUGCUCUCGUUGCUCUCUGAAAUGCUGUCCUACCGCCGGUGCGAGAACACGAGAGGACAGCCGAGGCCCAGGGGAAAGUCCGUGUGUGCUGGCAUGAUCCGUGCUCUCCAGGGUCAGUAUUUUUUGAGAAGAAGGAUAGCUGGGCUUCCUCUGUAGUUUCAGUCGCACGCUCUGAAUUCAGACAUGUUAAAUGUAGCAACAACCAGUUAUCUCAGUGCACUUUGAUGACCUACAUCCUGCAAGCCCAGGUGCUGACCGAMUGGUAUGAAGAGCUGCUGACACGUGCCGCAGGGGAAAGCCAGUGGUGGUGACCGUGGCGACGGCGUUGCUCUACCUGCUGAACGCUGUCUGGUCCAACAUUAUCUUCUGCCUAACACAAGCCACAACCUGCUACAAGGCAUUUGAGAGCGGACAAAACCCUUCGUGAACCCUGGCCGGUAAGGACGGUCUGUCCUGCUGCUAAGAGACCAGGCGUUACCUCUGCUCCGGCCUCCGCAGACCCCCCCGGCUGGCGGCACCGCUCGGGCUCGACGUGGGACAGCUUUCAGCGGCAGCUUCGCCAGCCGGACCAGCCCGGGGCAGCCGGGCUCUGAAGCACCGUGCGCAGCUCCCUGGGCCUUUCCACAGCUUAAUGCAGCYGCGAGUCGGGGCAGGGAAACCGAAUACAUUUUGACUUUACGUCGGAUUUGAUCCUGCCUGAAAGCACUUCAUUUGUGCAGUUCUUCAAGGGCAUGCACUCGAAGCCCUUUUUUUUCCUAACUGUGUUAAUUAAACCCAUCCCAAUAAGAAUAGAUGCAUAAUACAUUACACUAGUGUGUGGCUUCAGAGCUGGUUUCAUUAGGCUUCCAUGUAAUCAUUGCUUUUGAAAACGAUUAGUCUGACUGUAAGAAAAAAAAAAAAAGCAAAGCUUCUUGGUGUAUGUUUUGUGACUUCCAAUUCAGAAGUCUCUGGAAAAUUAAUUUUUCACCAAAGAGUAGCCACAUACUAGUCCUACUGAUGGCAAAAGCAAGUCCUGUUUCUUUUCAUGCUACUCACAUCAGGUGCCAUUUCCUCUGGUGUAGUUGUGGAUCCGACCAGUGCCUGCCUGUUGGUAUCAUGCACGCUUGACAGCCCCACUUGCAUAAUAGCUUUAACUCUGUAUUUGCCAUUUUCCUGCAGGGAUGAGUGUUAAAGAGAUGCUUCUAAAUAACAUUAAUUUUAAAAAUAAUCUAAUCACACUAAUCAUGUGUUCUGCCUCCAGGAAAAUUAUAUUAUUUUGCUACAGAGYGUGCUGAUGACAGUCACACACACUGCCAGCUACCUGCCUCCACCCAUGCUCUUGUCCCAUCCAAGUUCCCAGCACUUUGGCACCUGACAGACCAGCUCUUUCUCAAAACUGCAAGUCUCUAAGGGAAAUGAGGCUAUUGUCACUUGGGCUGGGGGCUCCUAAAGUCUGCUCUAGGCAUAUGUCUCUAACUGCAAAAAGAAAGACAGAUGAAUACAUGCGAGCAAAAUUUGUUAUUCCCUGAAGCCCAAUUUAACAUCCCAUUCCUAAAUUACCRUCUGUAAUAUUUAUUUUCUUCUGUUCCUAAGUUCUAUCUUUUCACUUUCUCACAUCUCAAGAAUUCACUUACUCUUAAAAAUAUGCAUCUUUGCUUUUUUUACAAGUCUGGCUGAAUCCAAAGACAUCGGGGAAGCUGAAAAACAGCAUAAAUCUGAGUUUCUUUUUUGCCAGGCCUCUUGCCCACAGCUUUGGGUGUUAGCAAUGCUGGCCUCUGCCUCCAGAGAGCUGCCAGUCUGGAGACCUGACCUAGGACUUUGUUCUCUUCCUCCGUAAUCUGCCAGUCAUGUUUCCCUCCUAAUUAAAACUAUAGCAACAGUGCAGAUUUGCCAAUACAGGGAAAGGAACUAUUCUCAAUUGCAUACAAACCCAACAAUGGAAUCGUUCUAAAUCAUCAGAAUAACUCRGUGGUACAGAAACUUCUUUUUUAAAAACUAAGUGCCUAAAUGUCUGUGUUUUGCUAUGCAACAUCUGGCAAGGGAAUAAAGGGAGAACACUGUCAGAGACA